RNAcentral lists this ribosomal RNA (264 nucleotides) under uncultured bacterium. Its description in RNAcentral is "partial 16S ribosomal RNA". It matches the Rfam family "Bacterial small subunit ribosomal RNA", at positions 793 to 1055 of the family's 1533-position model. The record is from RNAcentral.
GUCCAUGCCGUAAACGUUGGGCACUAGGUGUGGGGGACAUUCCACGUUUUCCGCGCCGUAGCUAACGCAUUAAGUGCCCCGCCUUGGGAGUACGGCCGCAAGGCUAAAACUCAAAGGAAUUGACGGGGGCCCGCACAAGCGGCGGAGCAUGCGGAUUAAUUCGAUGCAACGCGAAGAACCUUACCAAGGCUUGACAUGUACUGGAAACGGCUAGAGAUAGUCGCCCCGCUUGCGGUCAGUAUACAGGUGGUGCAUGGUUGUCGU